RNAcentral lists this long non-coding RNA (574 nucleotides) under Pan troglodytes (chimpanzee). Its description in RNAcentral is "lncRNA (ENSPTRG00000054007.1)". The record is from RNAcentral. Lineage: Eukaryota; Metazoa; Chordata; Mammalia; Primates; Hominidae.
AUUUUAUCCAAGUGAUCUGCUCUUCCUCUCUAAUUUCUUUGCAUUUACAUUAUGAAAAGGAGACCUAAAUUCAUUUAAUAUGGUGUUAGCAUGACUGAUAUGCUUCCAUUACUCAGAGUUCUCAUUAUUUAUCUCAAAAUUCAGGAAUUUCUCUUGUUCCCUGCUUUUACUGUUUACUUUUCUGCUAGUGCAACAUUCCCCACUAUUGGAAGGCUUCAUCUUCAAAGCAAAGGACAUGGUACAAAAAAUGGAAAAUUAACCAAAAAUAAAGAGGAAACAACCAAAGCAACCAAAAUAACAAAAUUGUUGGAGCUACUGUCCUUAAAAUUCUAUAUGGUGGACUGAGGAGACUGCAAACUUCAGAUGGAGCACCUAUAAAGUAGUGGAAACUUCAUUAGCCUGGAUGACUGAGUUGCUGCAAAAAGAAUGCUUUCCCUGGAAAGCUGCUUAGUGCCUCAGACAACUUUAUAGAAACUAAAAACAAGCUUUUACUGUAUAACUACCAAUGAUUUUGUUGUUGUUUACUACCUCAGUAUAUCUUCUAGGUUUUCUUGACUAAUAGAUAUUCAUAUCG